GCAGUAAGCCGGGGAGGGGUGCGGGCGGGUGAGUUUCGGCUGUGGCUGGUGCUCGCUGAGCUGGGCCGUCUCAGCUGCAGAGCGUGCGGCACGUCGGGACGGGAGUGGGGUGUGCGGACCGAGAGCUCGGUUCUGGAGCCACGCUUGCCUGCUUUCGGACGGCUGGGGAGGAGAAAGCGAACGGUUAUGCAAAGCUCCAUGCACCGAACGCCUUUCCCUCUCCUCUCCUUUGGAGGAAAGUUGGCGUCUGGGACUGGUGAGAGAGGCGGAGGUGACCUCAGGCUUUACUAAAGUGCGAGAAGCCGGCUGAGGGGCGAUUUCGGAAGAAGGCUGGUGAGGGGCGAGGAGGCCAGUUUGCCGAGUCAAAGUCUGACCCCCUGGGCCUGACGCGCCAAACUCGGGGGCUCCGGAGAAGCCGCGGACGCCGCUCUGCACCUGUUGUCGCCGUCACUCAUCCUCGCUGAGCGGGCGGGGCUGCGCGGGCGGCUUGGCCGAGACUCGCUGCCGCAGCCGUGUCCAGGCUCCGGCGCCCGCCCCAGGCCCGCGCCGGCUGAGCACCGCGGGACCUCCGCUCAGCCUCUGGAGCCGGCCGGUGAGGGAGCCACCCGCGCGCCCGAGGGAUUGACUUCAGCUCUACUUCAUGCCAUUUUCAAGAUCCACCCUCUAUCUGAUGAACAAUUAACCUUGUGGCAAAGGAAAAAAGAUCUUGUGGGCUUUGUGAUGCUGAAAAGCAUUAAUAAACUUCAUGCCUUGGAAAAAUUGGAGGAAGAACCCCCACCAUAUGCAGAUGAAUUAGAUUUGGGGUAUGUACCUGGGAUGGGGAGAGGGGGAGGCAUCUAACCCACACAUCUACUUCAGCAUCUCAUGUGUCAGGCAUUGGGAGUAUGUUUGAUUUGAAAAGGUUUAUAUUAUAAAAUCGUACCUGGAAAAAGACCCAAGCUGUUAAAUAAAAUAAAGAAGUGAAACAAGUUUUUAUGGGGGCCUCAUUGGUGCCUUUCCAGCAAUAUUUUUCAUAAAUGCCUUUGUGGCUUCUGUAUCUGUAGGGAACAUAACCAUAACACAAGCCCCAACCCCAGGAUCCAUGUCAAAGUAAGUUAAUACAUAGAAAAUAAAUCAACACUGACUGUCUAUUUUUAAAAGACCUUUGCCCUUAACAUACAGAGUGUUCCCAGAUGAUUGGCUUGGGGCUCCUGAUAGUGUAUUUUAGCCUCAGGGUCCACAUAGGGUGAUUCCUGAGGGGCAGUGUUAAUGGACAAACACUCGGCAUUCUGUUCUCCUGCAGGUAGCAAAGGUUUCUCAACACUUGGAUGAAGCAGCAGCCAUUAGGCAGUAUUGAUUGUAAUUAGAGAUUUCUUAAAUUUAUUGCCUUUCAGUACUUGGAAGAUUUAUUGAAUUGGUGAACCUAGAUCUAUCUGAAAUAAUUUGUAACUUCUCAUUUUUGUAGGACAGUUAUCAUGGAGUGAAGUGUACUUGUACUUAGAAAUAAAAUUGUUUGAUUUUUAUGUUUUAGUUACUAAAUUUCCCAUGUAAUUGCAAAUAUAAUUGAUGACAGAAUACCUGUCAAGAAAAGGAAAAUUUUGAAUUUUUAGACAGUGUAUUAAGUUUUGCUUAUCUUUUAUUGACUUAGCAUAUAUAUUCUCUACUACUGUAAUAUUUAUACUACAAAUUACCCUGCAAAUGCUUUUUCUUGAACUAGCAAAUUGAAAUGAUUAUAGUGUGUAUUAGGGAGUUCUGGGACUGAAUAUAAAGAUAUAUGUGACUCAAUUGAAAUUGCUGUACCUCAUAUUCAAUGCAUUUCUGUUUUGGCUCUUAAUAUAAAAAUAUUCUUUCUGGAAGUUCCCAUCGUGGCUCAGCGGAACCUAAUCCUACUAGUAUCCAUGAGGAUAUGGGUUCAAUCCCUGGCCUUGUUUAGUGGGUCUGGGAUCCAGAAUUGCUGUGAGUUGUGGUGUAGGUCACAGACACAACUUGGAUCCCGAGUUGCUGUGGCUGUGGCAUAGGCCGGCAGCUAUAGCUCUGAUUUGACCCCUAGCCUGGGAACUUCCAUAUGUUGCAGGUGUGGUCCUAAAAAGCAAAAAAAAAAAAAAAAAAAAAA
RNAcentral lists this long non-coding RNA (2092 nucleotides) under Sus scrofa (pig). RNAcentral's name for it is "lncRNA (ENSSSCG00045001313.1)". The record is from RNAcentral. Lineage: Eukaryota; Metazoa; Chordata; Mammalia; Artiodactyla; Suidae.